UCCAUACUUCAACCCAUGCUAUUAACGUCAAAACUGCCUUAAUUGUUCAAAAUAAAAAAGAUGUAAUUAAAUCGCUUUAUGGUAAAAAUAUCAGCAAAAUAACAUAAUGCCCCUCUCGGCAAACUUUCGACGAGAAAUGUUAACGGCUAUUAAGAAUGCAAAGAAGAAAAA
Cydia splendana is the source of this 171-nucleotide long non-coding RNA. RefSeq lists it as uncharacterized. NCBI's taxonomy places the organism in Eukaryota, Metazoa, Arthropoda, Insecta, Lepidoptera, Tortricidae. The transcript is spliced from 2 exons. The record is from RefSeq and is a predicted model, not a curated record.